GCCACGCGGCAUCAGGUGUCACGCCCCGUCAGGAUCCGGGUUCGUCUUGUAAAGCGGGGGUCGUCGGUUCGAACCCGACAGGGGGCU
This 87-nucleotide transfer RNA is filed under the name Kitasatospora cathayae. RNAcentral describes it as "tRNA-Thr". The record is from RNAcentral. Lineage: Bacteria; Bacillati; Actinomycetota; Actinomycetes; Kitasatosporales; Streptomycetaceae.